Non-coding RNA from Podarcis lilfordi (Lilford's wall lizard), 76 nucleotides. NCBI's taxonomy places the organism in Eukaryota, Metazoa, Chordata, Lepidosauria, Squamata, Lacertidae. The record is from the annotation of a GenBank genome assembly.
GGAAAGGACUGUGGCUCAGUGGUGGAGCAUCUGUUUUCCAUACAGGAAGUCCCCCGUUCAAUCCCUAGCAUCUCCA